CUAUGUUUAUUGGCUCAGUGUCUUAAAAACUCAAAUAUUGUUGUGUUGUCAUAAGUUUCAUCUUUUGUAUGAACCAUGAGUUAAGAGUUAAAUAACAAUACUAAAUCG
Non-coding RNA from Cicer arietinum (chickpea), 108 nucleotides. Lineage: Eukaryota; Viridiplantae; Streptophyta; Magnoliopsida; Fabales; Fabaceae. The record is from Rfam.